Molecule: transfer RNA, 73 nt
Filed under: Candidatus Omnitrophota bacterium
Lineage: Bacteria; Pseudomonadati; Candidatus Omnitrophota
Description: Candidatus Omnitrophica bacterium tRNA-Phe
Rfam family: tRNA
About the family: Transfer RNA (tRNA) molecules are approximately 80 nucleotides in length. Their secondary structure includes four short double-helical elements and three loops (D, anti-codon, and T loops).
Source: RNAcentral
GCCGAGGUAGCUCAGUCGGUAGAGCGAAGGACUGAAAAUCCUUGCGUGGGCGGUUCGAUUCCGUCCCUCGGCA